AUGAACGCUGGCGGCGUGCCUAAUACAUGCAAGUCGAGCGAACAGAUGAGGAGCUUGCUCCUCUGACGUUAGCGGCGGACGGGUGAGUAACACGUGGAUAACCUACCUAUAAGACUGGGAUAACUUCGGGAAACCGGAGCUAAUACCGGAUAAUAUAUUGAACCGCAUGGUUCAAUAGUGAAAGACGGUUUUGCUGUCACUUAUAGAUGGAUCCGCGCCGCAUUAGCUAGUUGGUAAGGUAACGGCUUACCAAGGCAACGAUGCGUAGCCGACCUGAGAGGGUGAUCGGCCACACUGGAGCUGAGACACGGUCCAGACUCCUACGGGAGGCAGCAGUAGGGAAUCUUCCGCAAUGGGCGAAAGCCUGACGGAGCAACGCCGCGUGAGUGAUGAAGGUCUUCGGAUCGUAAAACUCUGUUAUUAGGGAAGAACAAAUGUGUAAGUAACUAUGCACGUCUUGACGGUACCUAAUCAGAAAGCCACGGCUAACUACGU
This 495-nucleotide ribosomal RNA is filed under the name uncultured bacterium. RNAcentral's name for it is "partial 16S ribosomal RNA". It matches the Rfam family "Bacterial small subunit ribosomal RNA", at positions 29 to 506 of the family's 1533-position model. The record is from RNAcentral.